UUCACAAGCAACUGUGGAGUUUUCUGUCCC
RNAcentral lists this non-coding RNA (30 nucleotides) under Mus musculus (house mouse). Lineage: Eukaryota; Metazoa; Chordata; Mammalia; Rodentia; Muridae. The record is from RNAcentral.